This 73-nucleotide transfer RNA is filed under the name Enterobacter phage prasa_myo. RNAcentral describes it as "tRNA-Met". It matches the Rfam family "tRNA". Rfam says of the family: Transfer RNA (tRNA) molecules are approximately 80 nucleotides in length. Their secondary structure includes four short double-helical elements and three loops (D, anti-codon, and T loops). RNAcentral also lists the same sequence under 4 other names. The record is from RNAcentral. Lineage: Duplodnaviria; Heunggongvirae; Uroviricota; Caudoviricetes; Pantevenvirales; Straboviridae.
GGCCCUAUAGCUCAAUUGGUAGAGCACCCGGCUCAUAACUGGUAGGUUUUCGGUUCGAAUCCGGAUGGGGCCA